UUACGUUAACUAGCUGUCACAAAUAUGUCUCUGUCAGUGCAGAUUCCAACCUGCCACAGCUUUUUAUUUAUUAGCAAGUGGGAAUGGCAUGUUAUUGUUUAAUUAUGUAAUGACAACUGACAAAUGUAACUUACCGUAAUGAAACGUUACAAUGAAUGCAUGAUUCACACUGAAGGAUAAUGUAAUAACGUUUUAAUUAGGACUGGCAUAAUGUUACGUUAGCUAUUGUAAACGCCAGACAGACUUUGAUAAGUUACAAAUGGAAAAUAAAACGUAACGUUUUGCAAGCUGCCGCCCUUUACUCAAUUAGCUUAGCUUAACUCAUGAGAGGUUGAGUUGAAAAAUAAAAUUAUUAUUUUACCUUUAGUGAAAGCUAUAAAGCUGAAUGUCAAUCAUCGUAGAUAUAUUUUGCGGGACAUUAUCCAGACUGUCUGCUUCCAAACGAGCUUGACAUUAUGACGUAUCUCCGACAAAGUAAAACUGUUAUUGGUCGAUGUCGCCUCUGCGCCAUGAAUGAUUCAUCCAGUGAGGGUACAGCAUUCUAACUAUACUAACAACUAUUUGAAAAUGCGUGCACUUUCUUGAUUUCUGAAGCACAGAGACUAAAGAGACAAUUUUAAAUUCUUGUAUUUUCAAUCAUUUUAAGGUUUUACAUCCCUUCACCCCCAGAUUACCAAAGAUGUAGUUGAUGCUACAGAAACAUUUGUUGAAUUGUUCAGUCCUAACAUCACUUCCCAAUCUUUCAUACAUUGCUCAGUUAUUUAAAUUUAAUAAAUAUAGCAUACCAUUGUAAAGCUUUAUUCAUAUUGUGGUCCCCCUUGUGCUUAUUCACCUUAUAUUACCUCAGCCUAUGAAAAGCUCCAUCUAAAGCUAUUAUGUUUUUGACAUUUUUUGACAUUUUUGAUAUUUUCUCAAAUAAGAAUAUGUGUUGGUUGCACAUUUCAAUAUGACAAAAAAGGAAAAGCACACACAAUUGGGAAACGCAGGAGACAUGAUGAAGAAGGGACAUCACAGUAGACAUGACCUUAAUAAGAGGGGAUACACUUUAAACGGGCAGCAGCCAUAGACUGUAUAUUAAAAGGCAGCAGCAUACAGUUCAAGAUUAUUGUUAUAUUCGUUACAGGAUAUUAUCAAGAAACAUCUGACACUAAACAUAACAAUUAGAAAGUAGAACAUGUAACUUUACAUGUAGAGGCAUCUGUGGCAUUUCUGUACAGGCGCAUCAGUGCAGGAUUGAGUGAAGAUGGGUGCUGCGACCGGUUACACUCUAGGCGAAUAGGUUAGGUUUGGUAGCGUGCAAGUUAGGCAGGCAGGGGACUGGUUUGCAUGUAUGAUUUUCCAUCCCUUAUAAAAGUGUAGCAUAGCUGUGGGACAGGCAAUCAUUUUAAUGCAUUAAUGUUACACUUCAAUGAAACAAACCUCGCUUAGGCCAUAUGUGCAUAAUGCCUGUAUAACCAUUGUCUUUGUAAAUAGCAGUGUAAUUUCAGAUGUUGAUCAGAUCACAGAGGUUUGUAUACACUGGUGUGCAUGAAUAUUCACAUGUUCCAUCCCCCAUAGGGGUAAAAUUCAUAUCUACUGAUGGUUUUAGCUGUCUGCAUGACAUAAGCAGGAAAAAGCAUCAGAAGCCAGAGGGGACACAGUAUAAUUUUUAGUCCAACAUCUGAAAUAGACUGACUGCUAACAUGGCAGGUUUGCUCAGGCUGCAGGCUGCCCCGCUUUCUGUGGCGGCUCACUUGAUCCCUCUAUUACAACCUGCAUGAAGUCGAAAAUAUAAGAAUUAAUGUCACUGGGGUGACGGGUGUGUGUGUGUGUGUGUGUGUGAGAUUUGGAGCAGCGUAGGGUCACGCCCCCUCGUUAGUGGUGAAUGGCUACCGGUGUGGGUGUGGGAAGUCUGUUGCCAGGUCUUCCUUUAUAAGGAGACGGGAGAAACACAGGAGGGACGCGGAAGCAGGGAAGAAUUGGACCGUGGGACCGAGAACGGCAGUGACGCCAGAGGAAAGAAGCCGGAGGAACAUGGUGGUCACCACAGACGACGGUAACGUUAGACGGAGAGUCGACGUAGACAGAGACGAGACAGGGACCGAGGUAGACUUCGGAAGAGAGUCCACCGUACUCCAGAGUAACCCUUUGGUUAGAUACAGCGGCCCGGAGCCAAGAGGAGACGUCUCAGAGUAUCUGGAGUAAGAAGCGACCUUUGUGGAGACACAAGGAGGGGUUGGAAUUCAUUCCCCCCCUCCUUCCCUGUUGCUGCUGGCCACUGCCGAGAGGAGGAACGAGCAUCGAGAGCAGUGGAAGAGAGGCGGCGGGCCGAUGGACUGAUAAACGGGGAUUUUUUUAAGAAUAACUACUGAGUUUAUUAUAAAUGACUGAGAACUCUUUUUAUCAUUUUAGGUCUUUUAAUUGUGUUUGUGUUCAUUGUUUUUAAUUUAAGGUUCACUGGUUUUAUAAACAGUACUGGUCUGA
Long non-coding RNA from Micropterus salmoides (largemouth bass), 2463 nucleotides. RefSeq lists it as uncharacterized. Lineage: Eukaryota; Metazoa; Chordata; Actinopteri; Centrarchiformes; Centrarchidae. The record is from RefSeq and is a predicted model, not a curated record. The transcript is spliced from 2 exons.